This is an RNA transcript of Otolemur garnettii (small-eared galago), 1220 nucleotides long. It is a transcript of the gene named ubiquitin-conjugating enzyme E2 L3 pseudogene, with no coding region annotated. The record is from RefSeq and is a predicted model, not a curated record. The transcript has a single exon. Lineage: Eukaryota; Metazoa; Chordata; Mammalia; Primates; Galagidae.
CCAAGACAGAAAGGAAGUCAAAUCCUUAGAGCUUAGGGGCAAAAGGAGGAGAGACAAGUGUCUCUUUCUGUUUUCUUCAAUAUUGCCCAAGUUCACUCCUGCUUCCCAAGGGAAAAGUAAAGCUAAGAAACCACCAAAGACACUGAUUUUCAGCUGGGUCUGCACCUCUUCAAGUCCCCAACACAGUCUGAGAAUGCAAAGAACUGGUCGAGAAAGGGCUGAAUCUGGACUUCUCCCUGUGUUUUUAACAUUGAGAGGACUGGGAAAAAUUCUAACCUACAUAAAUACACAUACCCUCUCCUCCCAAUUCCUUCUCACUUUCUCCCUUGGAUUCUAAUCAUAAUUCCUGGUGAGCUAUGAGUCAGAGCCGUGAGACAGAGGCCAAUAAUUCUUCAUCUCUGUACUCCCAGCAAUAUCUAGCAUAGGGCCCUCUAAUAAAAGAUGCCUGGGAAACAUGUUAAAUGAGUAACAGUAGAAUGAAUGGCCUCUGAGAUUCUGAAAAGGGAUCAGAUCAAUUCUAUGUAUGGAAACUAAAAAAAAAAAAGUAGAGAUCCAAGAUGGCGGCCAGCAGGAGGCUGAUGAAGGAGCUUGAAGAAAUCCACAAAUGUGGAAUGAAAAACUUCCAUAACAUCCAGGUUGAUGAAGCUAAUUUAUUGACUUGGCAAGGGCUUAUUGUUCCUGACAACCCUCCAUAUGAUAAGGGGGCCUUCAGAAUCGAAAUCAACUUUCCAAAAGAGUACCCACUCAAGCCACCGAAGAUCACAUUUAAAACAAAGAUCUAUCACCCAAACAUCGAUGAAAAGGGGCAGGUCUGUCUGCCAGUAAUGAGUGCUGAAAACUGGAAGCCAGCAACCAAAACCGACCAAGUAAUCCAGUCCCUCAUAGCACUGGUGAACGACCCCCAGCCUGAGCACCUGCUACAGGCUGACCUAGCUGAAGAAUACUCUAAGGACCGUAAAAAAUUCUGUAAGAAUGCUGAAGAGUCUACAAAGAAAUAUGGGAAAAAGCGACCUGUGGACUAGAAUCUGCCACGAUUGAUUCCAGUAAGUGUGAGCAGAGACCCUGAGCAGUGCAUUCAGAUACCCGGCAAAACAGGACUCUGUGGAAAAUUGACAUGGGCCACCGCCUGGCGUUCGCUUGUGGCAGUUACUAACUUUCUACAGUUUUCUUAAUCAAAAAUGGUCUAGGUAACCUGUAAAGAAAGGAUUAAAAAUUUAAGA